UGUGGGAGCGGGCUUGCUCGCGAUUCAGGCGCUGCGGUCUGUCAGGUAAACCACAGCGAUCCCAUCGCGAGCAAGCCCGCUCCCACA
This 87-nucleotide unclassified non-coding RNA is filed under the name Pseudomonas fragi. Lineage: Bacteria; Pseudomonadati; Pseudomonadota; Gammaproteobacteria; Pseudomonadales; Pseudomonadaceae. The record is from RNAcentral.